AACACAUGCAAGUCGAGCGGAAACGAGUUAUCUGAACCUUCGGGGGACGAUAACGGCGUCGAGCGGCGGACGGGUGAGUAAUGCCUAGGAAAUUGCCCUGAUGUGGGGGAUAACCAUUGGAAACGAUGGCUAAUACCGCAUGAUGCCUACGGGCCAAAGAGGGGGACCUUCGGGCCUCUCGCGUCAGGAUAUGCCUAGGUGGGAUUAGCUAGUUGGUGAGGUAAGGGCUCACCAAGGCGACGAUCCCUAGCUGGUCUGAGAGGAUGAUCAGCCACACUGGAACUGAGACACGGUCCAGACUCCUACGGGAGGCAGCAGUGGGGAAUAUUGCACAAUGGGCGCAAGCCUGAUGCAGCCAUGCCGCGUGUGUGAAGAAGGCCUUCGGGUUGUAAAGCACUUUCAGUCGUGAGGAAGGCGGGUACGUUAAUAGCGUAUUCGUUUGACGUUAGCGACAGAAGAAGCACCGGCUAACUCCGUGCCAGCAGCCGCGGUAAUACGGAGGGUGCGAGCGUUAAUCGGAAUUACUGGGCGUAAAGCGCAUGCAGGUGGUUUGUUAAGUCAGAUGUGAAAGCCCGGGGCUCAACCUCGGAAUAGCAUUUGAAACUGGCAGACUAGAGUACUGUAGAGGGGGGUAGAAUUUC
Molecule: ribosomal RNA, 641 nt
Filed under: uncultured Vibrio sp.
Lineage: Bacteria; Pseudomonadati; Pseudomonadota; Gammaproteobacteria; Vibrionales; Vibrionaceae
Description: bacterial SSU rRNA
Rfam family: Bacterial small subunit ribosomal RNA
Source: RNAcentral